UUGAACAGCUACAAACAGAGUUGAAAGCAUAUAUGGACCAACUAACUGCUAUCCAUAGAGCUAUCUAUCUGCAGGAAAAAGCCAGAAGUUCCUGUCCAGAGUCGGUGGUGAAGAGACCAGUCGAACCAGGAGACGUAAAUGGAACAGCUCAAGAUGGGACGGACCAUUUGAGGUCAAACGAGCGACCGCAACCGCCGUCCAAGUUCAGGGGAGUGAUACGUGGUAUCAUUUGACUCAUUGUACUAAAGUACACGCCAGAGACACUGUGAAGCCAGACAUUGUGAAGCCAGACAAUGGAAAAGACUGUGAACAGAAAGUUUGCAGCAAUGAAACUGGUAUUAAUGACAUUUCACCUGUGGAUGUUGGCAGAGGUGGUGAGCCUAACAACAGCGAGGCCGGAGAUGAACUCUCACAGCCUGCAGACGGCACCACAGCAUCAGCCAACGUCAACUCAACCACGAGUGAAACGAGCAACGAGUAAUGAGGGUCGAGACGAUCGACAUGCAACCAUGAAAUGUGGAUUGUGGGAACGAUGUAUAGAUGGAUGACAUCAGGCAGCAGCCAUCGAAAAGGCUGACAUCCCGGCCGCCUGGACACGUCUAUGGACUCACACGUAUGCUACAGACUCAUUCCAAAUAGAAAGGAGUACCCGUGAUCGAGACGGACUCUCUUGUUUUGCUACGUGUCCAUGGACUCAUUCAAACCAAGCACAUGAACUGAAGACUGACUAACCCUGUUAACCUUGUUUAAGUUACUCAAUCUAAGAUUAAAUGAAUAAAAUAUAAUACAAUAAAGCAUUAGUAGAUAAGGUAGCACAGGCGGCCGGUUAGUUUAAUCUGUCAUAACAUUAUAUUUUAACAUUCGUUUCUGUUUAACCCUCCGUAUCAGUUUUAUUAGCAAGAUAAUUUGCAUAUAUAUAUAUAAUCCAUGUAUUUCAUAUGUUGUUUAUUGAUGGUUGUAUAUGUUACAUUCUAUUAGGUACUCUUUUUGAAUGAUAAGUGCUGGAUUUCAUUGCAAGUAGCAUGGCUGAUUUCCAAUUGAUGCCGGUCGACCUGACUGGUGGAUGCUCGAUGGGGAACCGAGAUCCAUGGGAGAGUUUUUUCCCCUGAGAACAGUACAUGAAUAAGUGCCAACAACGGGGUUUUUCGCUUCCAUAUCAGCUGGAUUGAUGCCAAUGUGAAAGCAAUGACUAUUUUGCAUCUCUCUCUCUCUCUCUCGUUGAAAUGUGUUAUUGAUUGUAAUUUGCACUUAUUACAAGUCAGUGUUGAUCAACAAUUAUGUGGACACCGUGAUCACAUUAGUAUAUUAUCCAUUGGUUGUGUAAGCAAUUACAUUUUUAGAUGUGUUAUCAUUACAGCUAAGCUUGAUUAGUGCGGAGUCAGAUUUUCUCUUUAUACGAUGUUUAGUCUAUGUACUUUAGUAUAUAGAGGGUUCCUUAGGAGUGUUACGUAAGUAACGUAACAAGGGAGGAUGUGCAGGGGGUUGGAAAACAUCUGAAGUCUGUUUGUCCUGAAAGCGAGGCGAAGGGAGCACAAGUCCAGAAUACGACCAGGACAUGACAUCCUGUGUGACCCAAACAGAGGUCAACUGACAAGAUAAGGUUGUCUGUUUUUCAACGUUUGUGGAGCUGUUCCCAGAAAUAAGACCAAUGUCUGCCAAAGGAGGCUGGAAGCAUGUGGACCAAUGGAUGCACGAAGAAUCUUAUUUGUAACACACACCCAUCUGUGGGAUAUAAAAUGCAUGUACACUAUGUUGUAAUCAGAACCCUAGCUCACACCCGUUCGUACGUGCUGAGAGGUAAAGCCUGAAAUAAAUGGGUUCCCAGUUGGCAAGCAGAA
Fundulus heteroclitus (mummichog) is the source of this 1838-nucleotide long non-coding RNA. RefSeq lists it as uncharacterized. The transcript has 2 exons. Lineage: Eukaryota; Metazoa; Chordata; Actinopteri; Cyprinodontiformes; Fundulidae. The record is from RefSeq and is a predicted model, not a curated record.